This 380-nucleotide ribosomal RNA is filed under the name uncultured eukaryote. RNAcentral's name for it is "SSU rRNA". It matches the Rfam family "Eukaryotic small subunit ribosomal RNA", at positions 587 to 972 of the family's 1831-position model. The record is from RNAcentral.
GGCUCUAGUAGCGUAUAUUAAAGUUGUUGCAGUUAAAAAGCUCGUAGUCGGACUUCGGGCUGGGCUGUGAAGGCCCACCGCAAGGUGGGACGGAUAGCCUGGUCUUACCCUCUGAUGUGCUCUCUGCUCUUAACUGAGUGGAUCUGUCGCACAGAGGCGUUUACCUUGAGCAAAUUGAGGUGUUCAAGGCAGGCAAAAAUGCUCGUACACGUUAGCAUGGGAUAAUAGAAUAGGGCCUUGGGUUCGCUGUUGCUGGUUGGUGAACCCAGGCAAUGAUCAACAGGGGCGGUCGGGGUGCUUCAUAUGCAGACGCUAGAGGUGAAAUUCUUGGACCGUCUGCAGAUGCCCAGAUGCGAAAGCGUUGCACCAGUACGUCCCCA